GGCUCCGUAGCUCAUCUGACAGAGCGCAUGCCACGUUGAGGCAUGAUGUUUCUGUCGCUGGUUCGAAUCCGGCCGAAGCCU
This is a non-coding RNA of Paragonimus heterotremus, 81 nucleotides long. The record is from the annotation of a GenBank genome assembly. Lineage: Eukaryota; Metazoa; Platyhelminthes; Trematoda; Plagiorchiida; Troglotrematidae.